GACGAACGCUGGCGGCGUGCCUAAUACAUGCAAGUAGAACGCUGAAGGAGGAGCUUGCUUCUCUGGAUGAGUUGCGAACGGGUGAGUAACGCGUAGGUAACCUGCCUGGUAGCGGGGGAUAACUAUUGGAAACGAUAGCUAAUACCGCAUAAGAGUAGAUGUCGCAUGACAUUUGCUUAAAAGGUGCAAUUGCAUCACUACCAGAUGGACCUGCGUUGUAUUAGCUAGUUGGUGAGGUAACGGCUCACCAAGGCAACGAUACAUAGCCGACCUGCGAGGGGGGUCGGCCACACUGGGACUGAGACACGGCCCAGACUCCUACGGGAGGCAGCAGUAGGGAAUCUUCGGCAAUGGACGGAAGUCUGACCGAGCAACGCCGCGUGAGUGAAGAAGGUUUUCGGAUCGUAAAGCUCUGUUGUAAGAGAAGAACGAGUGUGAGAGUGGAAAGUUCACACUGUGACGGUAUCUUACCAGAAAGAGACGGCUAACUACGUG
Molecule: ribosomal RNA, 495 nt
Filed under: uncultured bacterium
Lineage: Bacteria
Description: partial 16S ribosomal RNA
Rfam family: Bacterial small subunit ribosomal RNA
Source: RNAcentral